RNAcentral lists this ribosomal RNA (696 nucleotides) under Formicidae sp. NZAC 03009021. RNAcentral describes it as "eukaryotic LSU rRNA". It matches the Rfam family "Eukaryotic large subunit ribosomal RNA", at positions 396 to 848 of the family's 3401-position model. Lineage: Eukaryota; Metazoa; Arthropoda; Insecta; Hymenoptera; Formicidae. The record is from RNAcentral.
UACGUGAAACCGUUCAGGGGUAAACCUAAGAAACCCAAAAGAUCGAACGGGGAGAUUUAUCGUCGGCGACGCUGGCUUCGCGUCGAUGGGCGAUGUCCCGCGGGGACUCGCGGCUCGCGCGCGGGCACGCUGCCGUGCGUCGAUGUCCGGCGUUCGUCGUCGUGCACUUCUCCCCUAGUAGAACGUCGCGACCCGCUGGGUGUCGGUCUACGGCCCGGGUGCGGUGACUGACGCGUCGCCGGUAAAACGGCACGCGUCAAACCCCCGGUUGCCCGGCCGGCUUCCCGGCGGUACACGCAAGGUAUCAGGCCGUACAUCGUGAGAAUUCUCACAGAGUAGUCCUGGCCCGCUGUUGGUCGUUCGGUUAACCUUCGACAGGCCUGCUCACGUCUCUCUUGUGGGAGGACCAGGGGACCGAUACCGGGGGGACCGAUACUACUGCUUUGGGUACUCUUAGGAUCCGUCUUGAAACACGGACCAAGGAGUCUAACAUGUACGCGAGUCAUUGGGACUUAGCGAUACCUAAAGGCGUAAUGAAAGUGAAGGUCGUCCCUGGUUGUCGACCGAGGGAGGAUGGGCCGCGUCGCGCAUGCGGCUUCGCACUCCCGGGGCGUCUCGUUCUCAUCACGAGAAGAGGCGCACCCAGAGCGUACACGUUGGAACCCGAAAGAUGGUGAACUAUGCCUGAUCAGGACG